Molecule: non-coding RNA, 1683 nt
Filed under: Oryza sativa Indica Group (long-grained rice)
Lineage: Eukaryota; Viridiplantae; Streptophyta; Magnoliopsida; Poales; Poaceae
Source: RNAcentral
GGUCGUUUCUCUUCGGGCCCAACACGAGCCCAAAAGCUUCCCAUCUUCUCCCAGAAGAUUAGCGGCGGGGGAGGCGGCGGCGACCGGCGGCGACAGGGUGGCCGGAUUUGCGGUCCCGUCUCCCUCUCCUGGGCUUCCGCCACCACCCGCGGGCGCUUCUCCUCCACCGGGAAGCCUGCCGUCGCGCGACGGCGACUCCCUUCGACUGUUCGACGCAAUGCCAGGGCAGGCCUGGUGGAGCGGAGGCGGAGCCGCUUCUUCGCUGCUUGAGGCGAGGCGUUCAGGGUGUUCGGCGAAAUGCUCGAGAGUCGCUUGUCCAGUCCUGGUCGGUGGCGACUUCGGCCGUCGAAGAUCUCGUGGGCGGCGACUGUGCUUCCGCUUCGUGAGCUUCUGAAGGACGCAUACCUUUUGAUACUACAUGCAAAGCAUCAUUCCGAGAGGUGCAUAUAAUUUAGAGCAAUCAUCGGCAUCGUGGUCAUGGUGUGUACAUGCUCUGGAAAACAACAUAGCACGACUGGUGGGUGAUUGGUGCUUGAAGACUUGAAGUAAGCUGCGUAGCGUGUGAGGGCUGCAGGCUGCCAGUGGGAGCUGGCUUAUCAUUUGGGACACCACAGGGGAGACUGGUUCUUGUGUAGACAUGGUCUAUGGACUAUGGAACGGACUGAAGCCACACAGAUCUUCAGGUGCAGCACAAACUGGAGAAAUCCUUCGGCCAGAACAGAAACAGCAUAGGGAACACAAGAUGAUUACAGAAGAUCGGCUGCACAAAGACCAAUUCUAGAAACAGCAUAGAGGCCAUUUCCAGUUCAGACGACUGUAGUGCUGUACUGCUGUGCUGCACGUCGUACACGUCGAAGUCUGAAGAGGAUUGCUGCACUGCAGAUCAAUCAAUGAUUUUCCAAUUUUCGUCAAAACAAGAAACCAAUGAUUUUCCAGGCUCAUGGACACGGUCUACCCAGGCACCCAUCCGUAGACGUGCAAAAUUAUGAAAAACUGAUGGCGAUCUGGCGAUGAAUGAAUGAAUGAUUCGGACCGCCGCUACGUUGUUGCUGCCGACGCGUUCGUUGGCCGUGUGUCCGUGUCUCGGUCUGCAGUCUUCAGUGUCUCAGUCCGAUCGGAAUGAAAUGGAAUGGAGGAGAUGGCGGUGUGAACUGUCCUUGGUAGUGGAGUUGUGGAUUGGCUCGUAUACGACAAAUGUAUUUGGAUAUUUGGCACUUGUUAUCGCUGGAAAAAAUAUAGUCAAGUCGUGUACGAGGAAAACUGCAUGCUACUACCAUACAUACGAAGGAUAUCAAGUUCUUGACAUUUUGAUAUGGAGCAUAGCAAAACUGUUCUAGUUCUCGUUUGAAAUGCGAGAAUGUGUUCACAAAAGGCUGAUUCAUUUUAUUUAAAAUUCACGCAAUAUUCCUCUGUUCGAAGGAAAGGUCUUGUUGUGUUUUUCUUUUUCUUUUUUUUUCUUUUCUAGUGCAGGCUGAUCUGCUGUGCUGAGUGCAGACCGUGGCAGAAGUGAUUUACUUUUCCUUGUAUAAGGGGGUGUUUAAAUCCGGGGUGUAAAGUUUUAGCGUGUCACAUCGAAUAUUAUAUAAGGUAUCGCAUGUGGCAGAGUUUACAUUACCGGUUGACCACUAAAUUUCGAACCCCAUCGGUAUCACCGUUUUCGAUAAAUUUUGAUCGGUUUUUGAU